RNAcentral lists this ribosomal RNA (468 nucleotides) under Triticum aestivum (bread wheat). RNAcentral describes it as "partial small subunit ribosomal RNA". Lineage: Eukaryota; Viridiplantae; Streptophyta; Magnoliopsida; Poales; Poaceae. The record is from RNAcentral.
AUGGUGGGCUAUCCGAAAGUUUUCUUCCCACCAGAGGCCUCCGGCAAGGAGACCGCUCUCCCCAUAUCUCUUCUUUUUUGUGUAGAAGGUUUUUCUGCUUUACUGAAAGCUGCUCAAAGGGAGAAGAACAUCAAAGGGGUCUCUUUUGGGAGUGGAGGACCAACUGUCACUCAUUUGCUUUUCGCGGAUGACAGUGUAGAUUUUGUGGAGGGAUCGAGAGAGAGCUUUGAGGCCUUGCACCACAUCUUGCUGGACUAUGAGGUGGCAUCGGGCCAAAAAGUUAAUCUUGAAAAAUCAGCGGUCUUCUUUGGUAAGGGCACGUUGGAUGAUGACAAAAGUGAGCUCAAGCAGGUGCUGCAAAUCUCAGAAGAGGCAUUGAGUGAGAGGUAUUUGGGCCUGCCCACGGUGGUGGGGAGAUCCAAGGACGGUACCUUCAAAUACGUGAAGGAGAGUGCAAAAGGAAAAGUU